AUAGCAGAAACGGCGCCCACACCGAGCCCACUGCGCGGGGGCAGGGUCCGAGGGGAGGCAGGGAGUCCACGUCUCCCGUUUCAGAAUCACGGAAGAAAAUCUUCCCGAUUCAGUUCACGGUCCUGAGGGGCAAAAAUGUCUGUUCUGCGAGGGUCACUCAGUUCCGGUCUGGUGGGGGGCGGGGGAGCACGCUGACAGCCAGUUGCCCCGGCGGGAGCCCUGGACCCUGGCUUUUCAUCACAGCCAGAAUCUGUGCUGGGAUCCAGUUGGCCAUCCUGGCCUCCCCAGUCCUCAGGGUCUGGGGAACAGAAAAAGAGCGCGGGGCGGGGGGCCUGGAGGCGGUGGGGUGGAGUGGAGUACAGAACGGCCUUCGUGUCCCUGGCGUCUCCGGAGGGGCUGGCUCCCAGCUCCAUUCUGAGGAGUUGGAAUCCCACCCAGUCCUGUUGUUGUGAUCUCAAUUCAAGAGGAAGGUGUGAUAUGGCGUCUGUCUGGGUUGGACACCGAGGGACAAUGAGAGAUCAUCCAGGCUUUAACCCAUCUGUGGAUGCUGAGGCGAUUCAUAAGGCAGUCAGAGAAAUCGGAACUGAUGAGAAGACGCACAUCAGCAUUCUGACUGAGAGGUCGAAUGUACAGCGGCAGCUGACUGUUAAGGAAUAUCAAGCAGCAUAUGGAAAGGGGGAAAUGUUGGCAAAGAGGUGACUACCCUGAAAAAGAGCCUAAUGGAAAUUCCAGAAAUAAAAAACCAUGUCUGGACUGCAGCAUGAAUUGGAUGAGCUUAACGCCAGAGGAAAGAAUCUGUGAAACUGAAACAGCAAAAUGUAAAUGACCCAAACCGAAGCACAGUGAGGGAAAAUGCAGUGAGUUUAAGAAUGAGUUUAAGAAAAGACCCCAGAGGAGUUCCUGUGGUGGCAAAGUGGUUAACGAAUCCGACUAGGAACCAUGAGGUUGCGGCUUCGAUCCCUGGCCUCGCUCAGUGGGUUAAGGAUCCGGCGUUGCCAUGAGCUGUGGUGUAGGUUGCAGACAAGUCUCGGAUCCCGUGUUGCUGUGGCUCUGGCAUAGGCCGGCGGCUGCAGCUCCGAUUGGACCCCUAGCCUGGGAACCUCCAUAUGCCACGAGAGUGGCUCAAGAAAUGGCAAAAAGACAAAAAAAAAAAGACACGAGAGGUUUGUGGGACAAUGUCAAUGGGUCCACUGAUUGCAUGACUCAAUUCUCAGAAACUGAGGAACGAGGGAACAAAAUAAUACUUGAAGGGAUGAAUGGUUAGGAAUGUUCCCCAACUGAUGAAAAAUACCCAUCCACAAACCUCAGAAGCUCAUUGAAUCCCAGUGAAGACAGAUACAAAGACAAUCUUGCCCUGGACAGCACAGCAAAACUGCUGAAAAGCCAAAAAUUAUAAACACCAAAGCACAAGAGCAGCUAUAGAAAAAUGGGUUCAGGAGAAAGAAUUCUCAGAAACACAGGAGACCAAAUGGCAAAACCCAGCCUCUUCAGAGGAGGAAAGAAAAAACACGUCUACCCAGAACCUUACGUCCUGCACAAACACCCUUCAAUAAUGAGGCUCAGCCUCUAGAGGAUCACAGAGAAGGAGGCUUGUUGUGAAACUGAGUCAGAAGGAUGCUCUUAUAGCAGACUUUCAAGACAACCCUUAGCCCGGGAUAACAACCAGAGGAUGACUGGCCUGAGAACUUGGUAUUCCAGAAAGCAGAAUUCAGGUACACAAGAGAUCAUGAUUCCCUUGAUUCCUCCUCACCCUUUUCACACUCUCUACCUCUUUCUCCCACUCCCUCUCAGCUUCUCUCUCUCUCUCUCUCUCUCUCUCUCUCUCUCUCUCUCUCUCUCUCUCUCUCCCCCUCUCUCUCUCCCUCUCCCCCUCCCUCCCUCCCUCCCUCUCUCUCUCUCUCGGUGCCCAGGGGCAGAGACAACAAUCCGGCCUAAGCAAUCUGGACUCAAGUUGGUAGGGUCAGUAUUUUGGCGGCCAGGGCUUAAUCUGGUUGUGUCAUUGUUUGAAGACUGUCAUUCUCAAGAAUCACACAAACCCUGACAGGACUGGAAGGUCGGUCUUAGGGAAAAUGCCUGAAGUUAGGAUUUACCCAUGGGGCCCAUAUUUUACCCAGUAAGCCAUGUGCUAGAAACGUUUCAAUUGGGAGGACACGCUAGGUGGAGUACCUAUGUCUCUGUCUUGGGGUAUGGCUCCUGGGUGCUCCACACACCACGAACUCACAUCCAAGGCAGGAAGAGGCAUCCCUUCAGAGAAUGUGGCCAGAGGGAACUGAGUGGCUGGAGGCCCGCAUGAACGGGUGGUCAGGAAGGAAGGGUCUGGAGACCAGGGAGCAUGAGAGGCUGGCUGGUCCACGGAGUUGGCCCUUGAUGGCUCAGGAUGGCCUCCAGUGAAUCACCUGUGAGUGAGGUCUUCUUCUCUGCUCAGGGUGGAGGGGAACAAGUCAAUGGAGGAAGAGAGUUAGCUUUGGGAUGAAAGGCCCAAGGCCAUGCGUGAGGGCCAGGAAGACUGGUGGUCUUUCCCUAGCAAAACGUCUUCUUGGUUUCACGACAGUUUCUACAGGCACCUUUCAGAAACAUCUACAAAAAGAAACACACUAGUGCCUAUGGGCACUCACAGAGACACACGAGGCCAGGUCCACCACACUCACUGCAGUUCGGUCUUGGGUCGUGAGGCAGCAAAGCACGGGUUCAGUGUGGGAGGAAAGAACAUGUAUUUCAAAGAUUUCCAAGACAGGGAUCAGAUCCAUUAGAGUCUCCUGACCUGGUAGUAACAGGGACGUGUCCUCCCUCUGAAGGCUCAGGAAAGGAGAAGUUGCCAGGCAAGAUGGGAUUUUUAUUAUGGCCAUCUGGGUUGAAGAGAUACUGAGAGAGGGCAUAUUGCAGUGGAUCGUUGUGCAUUUUGAAACAGUCCUGUCCCCUUUAGAGACCUGAGGCAAGGAACCUUCAUCAGGCAGCAGCCACAGCAAAGAGGAGGAGAGAUCGAGUGAGCAGGAGACAGAGCAGUGACAGAGAGGGGCAGGGAGGCGGCAACACAGACACAGGCAUCAACAGGUAGAUGGAGAGAAUCAGAGCCAGAGACAGAAAGACCGACAGAGAAUCUGGCAGGAUGGAUGGGAAGGGUGACGAUGAAGAAAAUAAGCGGGGGGAGGAAGAAGGGGAGAAAAACUAUUAGCGAUCUCAUGCGUACAUUGGGAAUGCAAACAUUGUCUCCUCCUCUGUCAUCAUUGGUCUUGAGUUUUGACACCAGGAAGGGGACUAACAAAAGGAACGAUAUCUUCACGGAGGCGGCUUGUAUAUUCUGGAACUGUACCUUCUAUGGGGAGACCCGGCCCUUGGGUUCAUAGCUUGUUCCCCUGGGGGCUGAAUGGACUUGGGUCAUAAGGGAAGUUUGUGAUACUUCCAUCAGGCGUGGUUCGCCCUAGCUCGCUAUGUGCUGCUUCUCCCCGUUUUUGAAAAGAAGGCAUCUUCAUGCCACAUCAGGCUUCGCCUCAAAGGAGAACACAUUUGGAGUGCCUUUCAAGUGAUGCAAACUCCCUGUACCAAACCAGUGCACAGAGUUCAUUGGGCAGCACUUUGGCUCAUUUUCCUAGGUAUAGGACAGGCCUAGAUGGGAAAAAGGCAAGGUUUGGUCUCCGAAGUAAACCCGCACUGGGGCUGGUGUUCACUCACUGAAUAGGAUACACUUUGCAAGGAGAAACGUUGCACAUUCAUCUUUUGUGGAGUUUGUGAGAUUUCCGUCCGGCGUGGAUUGCCCUAGGUCACUGUGUGCUGCUUUUUCCCGCUUGUGAAAAGAAGGCGUUUUCAUGCCACAUCAGGCUUCUCCUCAAAGGAGAACACGUUUGGAGUGCCUUUCAAGCGAUGCAAACUCCCUGCACCAAACCAGUGCACAGAGAGCACCUUGGCUCAUUUGCCGUAUGUAUAGGAGUGGCCUAGGUUGGAAAAAGGCAAGGGUUGCUUUCCCGAGCAAACCCGCACUGGGGCUGGUGUUCGUUCACUGAGACAGGAGCUCCUGAGUGUUACAGCUCUUAAAGUCACCUCUUGACCAGGUCAAAAUGACAACGGUCUUCUACCACCUGGCUUUCUUCAGGAAGUGAUAAAAUAUCCCAACCCAACCAGCUCCUGCCCCAGGCAUCCUGUCAGGCCCUAUUGGCCAGAAUAGGGUAAGAUGCUCUCCACACCCCCAGCCACUCCUAACAAAGAGGAAGGGGAGGACCGGGAUGGAUUUCCUGCAGUCACGAUGCAUUCCCAGGUAGCCCAUUGAUUGCAUCAGGAGACCCGAACAGUUCACAUUUUAUUCAUGAGUAUUACUGUGGUUCCGGGUAGAAGAAAUGGCUGCUGGGAAAAUACCAACAAUGUUUGUAAGGACAGUCACGGACCAAAAGUCCGCAGAGGGUAUGGAUUGUCCUUGGAGCUGAAGAAGUCACGGAAGAUAGGGAGUUCCCAUUGUGGGACAGCAGAAGUGAAUCCGAGCAUCAUCCGUGAGAAUUUGGGUUCGAUCCCUGGCCUCACCAGUGGGUCAGGGAUCCAGUGUUGCUGUGAGCUGUGGAGUAGGUUGCAGAUGCAGCUUGGAUCCUGCAUUGCUGGCCCUGUGGUGUAGGCUGGCUGCUGCAGCUCCUAUUAGAGCUCUGGUCUGGGAAGGUCCAUGUACCACGGCUGUGGCCUAAAAAAACAGUUACAGAAAAUAAAGACAGGGGUGCAGUGGUGCCGGCAGCACAUGGGACUAAAGUCUUCAGUGAUGAGCACAACGACAGAGAAGGGACAAAUGACUGCCCAGGAGGAGUGAUGAGGCUGUGUCUAGGAAGGCCACAACCACCUUACCAGACGGGCGGCCUGCUCCCUCUGUUGCCCUGGACCCUCGGGUGUGAGGACCGAUCCUCUGCUCAGAGUCCAGCCUCCUCUGUCCUCCUUGCUUCAUUCUACCUGCAGCCCACCCAUCUUUCUUUGGAUCUGCCUUUCUUUGAGAAGUUAUCCUCUGUAUUGGCUAUCAGGUGGCAGAACCUGUGGACCCAAAAGGAGCAGUUGCACUGGCAGGGACUAGGUGGACCUCGGGUCGCCAUGGAAAACUCUUGGUGGAGCACAGGCAAGAGUUGGGGCGGGAGGACCUGCACCCCAUAAGAAAUACCCACCAGCUCUCAGAUCCUCGAGGGUUGUAGGAGCACCGAGACAUUCAAGCUGGGAAAUGAAGACUGUGAUAGGGCAGAGCGAGACCCAAGCUUCCCCGGGCAAUGGCAGCGUGAGCUCCUGUCCAACUGCCAAAAGAUGAGAGUUGGCAUCUUACCAGAAGGUUUGGAGGGAUAGGAUGAGAGACGCCUGGCCAUUGGCCGGAAGCGCAUGGCGGGGGAGGGGGUUGCGGAAGCUGCCUCGUGAUUGGCCCGGGCCACGGGGAUGUCACAGGGAGGCAUUGUGACUUGAGGGCAAGGCAGUUAUAAAAGCCCAGUGCUUCCACCGUCUCCCAGACGGAGGAUAUGGCUUUUCAGCUGUUCCUGCUCUUGCUCUUCAAGGCGGUGUCCUCUGCCGCCUUCUCUGCACCUGCACAUGGCAUGCCCCAGGCCCACCUGUCCUGCCCCGGGCCUCUCACCCACACUUGGUGUACCACAUUCCUGUUCGCAUCCAGCUUUGAGCCCCUUUGCGGGCGGAUGAGCCUGCGCACCCGCACCCGGCGCCUCCUCCACCCGCAGCCCUCCUCGGGCCUGGCCCAGCUCCUCAACACUGUGCUCAGGUUCUACAACAGGGGCUUGGACGUCUGGAACCAGAACCAAGCAGACCCCCACGCGGAGGGGAAGCAGCCCUCCCAGCCCUGUUGGCCAAGAGACCUGGACACGUGCCACGCCUCCAACUCCACACUGCACAGAAGGCAGCUGGCCACCCCUCCUCAGACAUCCAUGGACCCCAGAUCCAAGAUCUCCACCUUGGCCCUCCUGCUCCACAAAGGAGAGUCACAGACUCACAGGGCGAGUUCCUGUACCUCCUGCCCACCUCCAUGCAACCUCUCAAAGGGCUCUCCAGCCCAUGUGGGACCACCAGCCUGGGUGAGGCGACUGGUCCAGUUAGGGCCACCAGUCCUGGCAGGGCCAAAAGUCCAGGCAAGGCGACCAGCCCAGGUGGGACCACCAGCCCAGGUGAGGACACCAGCCCAGGAAGGACCAGCAGCCCAGAUGGGACCAGUGGCCCUGGUGAUGCUACCACCACAGGUGGGACCAACAGCCCAUGUGGGGACGUUUCCCCAGGCAGGAGCAACAGCCCAAGUGGGGCCACCAAGCCUUGCGGGACCAAUGGCCCCAAUAGGGACAGCAGCCCAGGUGAUGGGGCCACUAGACCAGGCCACGACUCCAGCUGAUGCCAGGCUACCAGCCCAGGCAGGCCCAGCAUACCAGGUGGGGCCACCACUCCAGGCAAGUCCACCCGCCCAGAUGUGUCCGUCACCCCAGGCGAGGCUACCAACCCAGGUGGGGACACCAGCUCCUCUGGUGCCACCAGCCCAGUCAGGUCCACCAGCCCAGGUGGGGCCAACACCCCAGGCGGGGACACCAGCCCAGGCAGGGACACCAGGAUCGGCGAGGAUACCAGCCCAGGCGGAACCAACAUGCCAGGCCAGGCCAACAGCCCAGACGGGGACACCAGCCAUGACAGAAACCCUGUGGUCACAGCUAGGCUUUGGAAACAUUGAGAGUUUGCUCCUUCUGUUGACUCGCUGUGCUCUGGUGCUGCUCUUUUCCUUCUGGACAUUUAUCUCAUGCAGAGAGAUAAAGGACUACCGUGAGUUCCAACAAGAGCAGCUGGCAGAGCUGGGCAAAGGAUUGAAGAUGAUGGGUAAAGCCCUGGGAGAACUUGAGAAGACACUAAAUGCAGAAAGAGAACAUAAAAAUCAUCUUUCCAAGGAGCUGUCUGAGCUGAAGGCAGAGCUCAGAAUUUCUGAAAAGGAAACAGAGAGAUGGAAAAAGCUGUUUUUUCUAUUGUCCCGGGCACAACACCUUUUGAAGGCCUUCCCGGAAGAUGCAAAGGGGCACUGUGUGCAGGUGGAGCAGGGCCCUUAGAGGCAGGCCCAGGCCUGGGAGCUGGAGAGUUUCUUCCUCCCUGUGCACGCCCCCUAGAGGGGGAGAAGAGGGGUGGGGAGGGAGGGCAAAGCGGAGGCUAGGGUAGGGGUGCUGGGACAGAGACGUGGCCUGAAUUUCAUGAUGUAUGUAUAUUUUGAAUAAAUAAUUGAAUGUUGGAAG
This 7214-nucleotide long non-coding RNA is filed under the name Sus scrofa (pig). RNAcentral's name for it is "lncRNA (ENSSSCG00000050540.2)". Lineage: Eukaryota; Metazoa; Chordata; Mammalia; Artiodactyla; Suidae. The record is from RNAcentral.